AAGGUGGCCUGUGAGGGUUGCUGGAGGUAUCAGAAGUGCGAAUGCUGACAUAAGUAACGAUAAAGCGGGUGAAAAGCCCGCUCGCCGGAAGACCAAGGGUUCCUGUCCAACGUUAAUCGGGGCAGGGUGAGUCGACCCCUAAGGCGAGGCCGAAAGGCGUAGUCGAUGGGAAACGGGUUAAUAUUCCCGUACUUGGUGUUACUGCGAAGGGGGGACGGAGAAGGCUAUGUUGGCCGGGCGACGGUUGUCCCGGUUUAAGCGUGUAGGCUGGUUUUCCAGGCAAAUCCGGAAAAUCAAGGCUGAGGCGUGACGACGAGGCACUACGGUGCUGAAGCAACAAAUGCCCUGCUUCCAGGAAAAGCCUCUAAGCAUCAGGUAACACGAAAUCGUACCCCAAACCGACACAGGUGGUCAGGUAGAGAAUACCAAGGCGCUUGAGAGAACUCGGGUGAAGGAACUAGGCAAAAUGGUGCCGUAACUUCGGGAGAAGGCACGCUGACACGUAGGUGAAGUGAUUUACUCAUGGAGCUGAAGUCAGUCGAAGAUACCAGCUGGCUGCAACUGUUUAUUAAAAACACAGCACUGUGCAAACACGAAAGUGGACGUAUACGGUGUGACGCCUGCCCGGUGCCGGAAGGUUAAUUGAUGGGGUCAGCGCAAGCGAAGCUCCUGAUCGAAGCCCCGGUAAACGGCGGCCGUAACUAUAACGGUCCUAAGGUAGCGAAAUUCCUUGUCGGGUAAGUUCCGACCUGCACGAAUGGCGUAAUGAUGGCCAGGCUGUCUCCACCCGAGACUCAGUGAAAUUGAACUCGCUGUGAAGAUGCAGUGUACCCGCGGCAAGACGGAAAGACCCCGUGAACCUUUACUAUAGCUUGACACUGAACAUUGAGCCUUGAUGUGUAG
This 903-nucleotide ribosomal RNA is filed under the name Salmonella enterica. RNAcentral's name for it is "partial 23S ribosomal RNA". It matches the Rfam family "Bacterial large subunit ribosomal RNA", at positions 1253 to 2141 of the family's 2925-position model. The record is from RNAcentral. Lineage: Bacteria; Pseudomonadati; Pseudomonadota; Gammaproteobacteria; Enterobacterales; Enterobacteriaceae.